Molecule: ribosomal RNA, 506 nt
Filed under: uncultured bacterium
Lineage: Bacteria
Description: partial 16S ribosomal RNA
Rfam family: Bacterial small subunit ribosomal RNA
Source: RNAcentral
AGUGAACGCUGGCGGUAGGCCUAACACAUGCAAGUCGAACGGCAGCACAGAGGAGCUUGCUCCUUGGGUGGCGAGUGGCGGACGGGUGAGGAAUACAUCGGAAUCUACUCUGUCGUGGGGGAUAACGUAGGGAAACUUACGCUAAUACCGCAUACGACCUACGGGUGAAAGCAGGGGACCUUCGGGCCUUGCGCGAUUGAAUGAGCCGAUGUCGGAUUAGCUAGUUGGCGGGGUAAAGGCCCACCAAGGCGACGAUCCGUAGCUGGUCUGGGAGGAUGAUCAGCCACACUGGAACUGCGACACGGUCCAGACUCCUACGGGAGGCAGCAGUGGGGAAUAUUGGACAAUGGGCGCAAGCCUGAUCCAGCCAGACCGCGUGGGUGAAGAAGGCCUUCGGGUUGUAAAGCCCUUUUGUUGGGAAAGAAAUCCAGCUGGCUAAUACCCGGUUGGGAUGACGGUACCCAGAGAAUAAGCACCGGCUAACUUCGUGCCAGCCGCCGCGGUAA